This 612-nucleotide ribosomal RNA is filed under the name Triticum aestivum (bread wheat). Its description in RNAcentral is "partial small subunit ribosomal RNA". The record is from RNAcentral. Lineage: Eukaryota; Viridiplantae; Streptophyta; Magnoliopsida; Poales; Poaceae.
AUGGCAUUCACAUAUCUUGGACUACCACUUGGUACAUCCAAACCAUCGGUCCAAGACAAAAUGCCUAUUGUCUAUAAUAUGGAAAGAAGGCUCACAUCUACAUUAUCCUUGAUGUCCUAUGGCUCCAAACUUUCCUUACUAAACACGGUCAUCACCUCACUUACAAUUUUUGCACUUUGCACUCUGAGAUUUCCACCAAAAAUCCUUAAGCUGUUGGACAAACUAAGAAGGAGAUGCCUCUGGACAAAGAUGACAGAACAAGGUGAAAAAUGCAACUCUCUAGCUGCUUGGGACAGAGUUUGCAAGCCCAAGAAGAGUGGGGGGCUUAGAAUCAUUAAUCUUAAGAUACAAAGUGAUGCUCUCCUCCUAAAAUACUUACACAACUUUUACAACCGUCAUGACCUUCCUUGGGUGGACUUGCUUUGGACCACCUACUAUACCAAUAAAAUCCCACAUGCCUCUGACCCAUGUGGAUCAUUCUGGUGGAGGAACAUCCUCAAGCUAACUCCCAUUUUUAGAGGAAUCUCAGAAGUUGACAUGAGAUGUGGAGACAAUGUACUAAUGUGGAAAGACCUAUGGUUGGAAGAAAUUAUAUCUAACACACAUCCUAGA